AGCUCUUUCAAAAGCAUCUUUCGUUUUUUCCUACAACCUCCCUUCUCGCAUAUAGGUUUUCAGCCAGGAGAGGCUUUUCUUUUCUUUUCUUUUCUUUUCUUUUCAGGUGGAGUCUCACUCUGUCUCCCAGGCUGAAGUGCAGUGCCGUGAUCUCGGCUCACUGCAACCUCCACCUCCCAGGUUCAAGAGAUUCUCCUGCCUCAGCCUCCCUAGUAGCUGGCAUUACAGGCGUGCGCCACCACAACCAGCUAAUUUUUUUGUAUUUUUAGUAGAGAUGGGGUUUCCCCAUGUUGGCCAGGCUGGUCUUGAACUCCUGACUUCAAGUGAUCCACCCGCCUCAGCCUCCCAAAGUUCUGCAAUUACAGGUGUGAGCCACUGCGCCUGUCCCAGGAGAGGCAUCUUAUUCAGGAAAUAAUUUUGAAUUAUUUGGGAGAUGCUGAGAGUGUACAUCAGCCUGCAGGAUUGAAUUUCAGAUUAUGCCAUUUGGUCCUGUGAUUUCAGAUCCCGUCUUAGAGUUCUACCUUGUGCAUCCUCUAAUAACUCAAAGAAUCUGGGACACAUCCCAGGCGCUUGAUCAAUAGAUUUGGCUUUUGGAAAGAGUAUUCAGAGGCUAGUGGCUAAUGGAGAAUUGAGUUGCUCAGUAAUUCAUUUUAAGCCAAUAUGCUCUUUUGGCAAGCCCGUUCCAUUAGAGCAAGUAGAAGUUUCCAGCUCUAUUCUUUGCUGACCCAUUGAAUUUUUUAAAUUUAUUUUUUUGUUUUAUUUUUUGAGACGGUGUCUUGUUCUGUCACCCAGGCUGGAGUGCAGUGGUGCAAUCUCAGCUCUUUGCAACCUCCAUUUCCCGGGCUCAAACGAUUCUCCUGCCUCUGUCUCCUGAGUAACUGGGAUUACAGGCACGUUCCGCCACGCCCGGCUAAUUUUUUGUAUUUUUAGUAGAGAUAGGGUUUCACCAUGUUGGUCAGGCUGGUCUCGAACUCCUGACCUCAAAUGAUCCACCCGCUUUGGCCUCCCAAAGUGGUGGGAUUACAGGUGUGAGCCAACAUGUCCAGCCAGUUAACCCAUUGAAUUUACUGUCAUAUAGACAAAAAGUGCAAGGCACGACAGUAAGCUUCCAUGUUCUUCAGAAAUGCAGAAAGGGACAUGAAGCAAGGCAGAGAAUAGAAAUAUGUUUUGUUUUUUAUUUUUUUAAUAGAAAACUUAAAAGAGUUAAGGAAAAGAGAGGAAGACAAUGGAGAAAAUGGAGAAGGGAUCUUUGCCGAUGCCCCCCUUCUUCCUGGUCUGCCUUCCCCAUUCCUUCUCGUCCUUCAAGUCACACCUGUGCUGUGACCUCCAUAGCUCUCCGUGAUCUCUGGCAGAGUCCCAUGAAGGUCAAAACAGGCAAGACAAGCGUGAAACAAGAAGGGAAUCAUCUUUCCACAAGUCUGGAAAAUUCCACACAUGGAAUGGCAUUUGAAGAGUGGUUGUAGGAAGACCAAGACGGCCCUCUGCUAAAAGCGAAGCUGCUGGGAGGCAGGAGCAGGACACAUCGUGCCUUCCCUGGGGACAGGCCUUGUGCUGCUCCCCCACAACCUGAAGAUAGCUGCUCACAUCUGCUCCGUUCCUCCCCCACUGAGUGCACCAUCUGUCCCUUUGACAGGAGAAGAGAAGCCAGAGAGGAAGGCACAGAGGAACAGCCACAGACAGAACCCCACAAGGGACUGCAGGGAUAACCCCGCGUCUGAGGAAUAAACCCUGGGAAAAUGCCUCAUCCUAAGUUGGUCGAUGUUAAGCGAGGGAGAGGGAUAAAAACAAAAUCUUUCCUGUAAUUCUGAAGCUUGUCUCUAAAGUAAUCCCUUGUGCUGAGGUCCUGAGAGCUGGAAGGCAGGUAAUUAUAAAGACAAGGAGGCUUAAGGAAAAUCUGAAGAGAGAGAAGGGCAGAAUGAGAUUUUACCACCAUAAUACAUGGUGCAUUUAUCUAUUGAUGCAUCAGAAAUUCGGAAAGAGACAAGGCACAGUGGCUCAUGCCUGUAAUCCCAGCACUUUGGGAGGCUCAAGGGGAGGAUCCCUUGAGCCCAAGAGUUUGAGGCUGCAGCCAGCUAUGAUUGCACCAUUGUACUCCAGCCUGGACAACAGAAUGAGAUCCUGUCUCUAAAAAAAAAAGUAGAAAGAUGCAGGUUAGCUGAUGAGCAUCUGACAGGAACUGCAGCCAUUUAGGAGGAAAAAGAAAUCCAGUGUUCUAUGGUCGACCAAGAAGCAGCUACAUUUAUUCAUAAAAGUAAAUAUGCAAAUAGAUAUUGAGUUAUGGUAAGAGAACAGCCGGGCACAGUGGCUCAUUCCUGUAAUCCCAGCAUUUUGGGAGGCUGAGGCAGAAGGGUCACUUGAACCCAGGGGUUUGAGGCCAGCCUAAGCAACAUAAUGAGACCUAAUCUCU
Molecule: long non-coding RNA, 2407 nt
Filed under: Macaca mulatta (Rhesus monkey)
Lineage: Eukaryota; Metazoa; Chordata; Mammalia; Primates; Cercopithecidae
Description: lncRNA (ENSMMUG00000051964.1)
Source: RNAcentral